AUUGAACGCUGGCGGCAGGCUUAACACAUGCAAGUCGAGCGGAGAUGAGGUGCUUGCACCUUAUCUUAGCGGCGGACGGUUGAGUAAUGCUUAGGAAUCUGCCUAUUAGUGGGGGACAACAUUCCGAAAGGAAUGCUAAUACCGCAUACGUCCUACGGGAGAAAGCAGGGGAUCUUCGGACCUCGCGCUAAUAGAUGAGCCUAAGUCGGAUUAGCUAGUUGGUGGGGUAAAGGCCUACCAAGGCGACGAUCUGUAGCGGGUCUGAGAGGAUGAUCCGCCACACUGGGACUGAGACACGGCCCAGACUCCUACGGGAGGCAGCAGUGGGGAAUAUUGGACAAUGGGGGGAACCCUGAUCCAGCCAUGCCGCGUGUGUGAAGAAGGCCUUAUGGUUGUAAAGCACUUUAAGCGAGGAGGAGGCUACUGAGACUAAUACUCUUGGAUAGUGGACGUUACUCGCAGAAUAAGCACCGGCUAACUCUGUUCCAGCCGCCGCCGUAA
RNAcentral lists this ribosomal RNA (501 nucleotides) under uncultured bacterium. RNAcentral describes it as "partial 16S ribosomal RNA". It matches the Rfam family "Bacterial small subunit ribosomal RNA", at positions 30 to 523 of the family's 1533-position model. The record is from RNAcentral.